The submitters of this non-coding RNA (61 nucleotides) gave its source as unclassified sequences. The record is from Rfam.
UUUGGUCCUCGGUAGUGGUUUCCGGAAUCGGAUAUUCCGUGAACUUCGAUCGAAGAUCCAU